Molecule: ribosomal RNA, 216 nt
Filed under: Glomeromycotina sp.
Lineage: Eukaryota; Fungi; Glomeromycota
Description: partial small subunit ribosomal RNA
Rfam family: Eukaryotic small subunit ribosomal RNA (bases 40-216)
Source: RNAcentral
GGGUCAGUAGGUUGGUCGUGCCACCGGUACGUACUGGUCUCACUGAUUCCUCCUUCCUGAAGAACCGUAAUGCCAUUAAUUUGGCGUUGCGGGGAAACAGGACUGUUACUUUGAAAAAAUUAGAGUGUUUAAAGCAAGCUAACGCUUGAAUACAUUAGCAUGGAAAAAUGAAAUAGGACGAUCGAUCCUAUUUUGUUGGUUUCUAGGAUUGACGUA